AGGACAGCCUGGGCUCACUGCCGAGCUGGGAUCCUUACCCAUCGAGCAGCAUCUCCUCAAGAGCAUCUGUGGUGACUGUGCCCAGGGCCAGGCAGCCCAUUCAGCCUCCCUUCUGGUGAAAGGAGAAAAGGGGGACCAGGGUGUCCCUGGUGUGCCGGGUUUCAACGACUGUGCCAGGUGCUUCAUAGAGAGGGAGCGCCCGAGAGCUGAGGAGGCCAGGGGAGACAACAGUGAGGGAGAACCUGGCUGUCCUGGGAGCCCUGGCCUGCCUGGUCCUCCAGGGAUGCCUGGCCAAAGAGGAGAAGAGGGUCCACCUGGCAUGAGGGGCUCUCCUGGUCUUCCAGGCCCUGUUGGUCUUCAAGGGGAGCGAGGCCCCACAGGCCUGACUGGAGACAAGGGAGAACCGGGUCCCCCAGGACAGCCUGGCUACCCGGGUGCCAUGGGUCCCCCAGGACUGCCUGGCAUCAAGGGAGAAAGAGGAUAUGCUGGCCCUGCGGGAGAGAAGGGGGAGUCGGGCCCACCAGGAUCUGAAGGCCUUCCAGGUCCCCAAGGUCCAGCGGGUCCCCGAGGAGAGCGAGGUCCCCAAGGGAGCUCGGGAGAGAAGGGUGAUCAGGGAUUUCAAGGCCAGCCAGGUUUCCCUGGCCCACCGGGUCCCCCGGGAUUCCCAGGCAAAGCUGGAGCUCCUGGCCCACCUGGCCCCCAAGCAGAGAA
RNAcentral lists this long non-coding RNA (711 nucleotides) under Rattus norvegicus (Norway rat). RNAcentral's name for it is "long non-coding RNA NONRATT022665". Lineage: Eukaryota; Metazoa; Chordata; Mammalia; Rodentia; Muridae. The record is from RNAcentral.